CGAGCUUGACGGAUGAUUUCUUCGGAAUGAAACCAGAUAUGACUUAGUGGCGGACGGGUGAGUAACACGUGAGCAACCUGCCUUUCAGAGGGGGAUAACGGCUGGAAACGGUCGCUAAUACCGCAUGACGUGUUCGGAUGGCAUCAUCUGAACAUCAAAGAUUUAUCGCUGAAAGAUGGGCUCGCGUCUGAUUAGAUAGUUGGUGGGGUAACGGCCUACCAAGUCGACGAUCAGUAGCCGGACUGAGGGGUUGAACGGCCACAUUGGGACUGAGAUACGGCCCAGACUCCUACGGGAGGCAGCAGUGGGGAAUAUUGCACAAUGGGGGAAACCCUGAUGCAGCAACGCCGCGUGAAGGAUGACGGUUUUCGGAUUGUAAACUUCUUUUCUUAGUGACGAAGACAGUGACGGUAGCUAAGGAAUAAGCAUCGGCUAACUACGUGCCAGCAGCCGCGGUAAUACGUAGGAUGCAAGCGUUAUCCGGAUUUACUGGGUGUAAAGGGAGCGCAGGCGGGACUGCAAGUUGGAUGUGAAAUACCGUGGCUUAACCACGGAACUGCAUCCAAAACUGUAGUUCUUGAGUGAAGUAGAGGCAAGCGGAAUUCCGAGUGUAGCGGUGAAAUGCGUAGAUAUUCGGAGGAACACCAGUGGCGAAAGGCGGCUUGCUGGGCUUUAACUGACGCUGAGGCUCGAA
This 694-nucleotide ribosomal RNA is filed under the name uncultured bacterium. RNAcentral's name for it is "bacterial SSU rRNA". It matches the Rfam family "Bacterial small subunit ribosomal RNA", at positions 58 to 757 of the family's 1533-position model. The record is from RNAcentral.